This 446-nucleotide ribosomal RNA is filed under the name uncultured bacterium. RNAcentral describes it as "bacterial SSU rRNA". It matches the Rfam family "Bacterial small subunit ribosomal RNA", at positions 217 to 662 of the family's 1533-position model. The record is from RNAcentral.
GGUAUGGGAUGAGCUUGCGUCCGAUUAGCUAGUUGGCGGGGCAACGGCCCACCAAGGCGACGAUCGGUAGCCGGCCUGAGAGGGUGAUCGGCCACGUUGGGACUGAGAUACGGCCCAGACUCCUACGGGAGGCAGCAGUAGGGAAUAUUGCACAAUGGGGGAAACCCUGAUGCAGCAACGCCACGUGUGGGAAGAAGCAUUUCGGUGUGUAAACCACUGUCAUGAGGGAAUAAGGCCCGUUUUCGGACGGGAUUGAAUGUACCUUGAGAGGAAGCACCGGCAAACUUCGUGCCAGCAGCCGCGGUAAUACGAGGGGUGCAAGCGUUGUUCGGAAUUACUGGGCGUAAAGGGAGCGUAGGCGGAGAUUCAAGCGGAUUGUACAAUCCCGGGGCCCAACCCCGGCUCUGCAGUCCGAACUGGAUUUCUUGGAUAGUUCAGGGGCAGGC